GAGGAAUAUUGGUCAAUGGACGAGAGUCUGAACCAGCCAAGUAGCGUGAAGGAUGACUGCCCUAUGGGUUGUAAACUUCUUUUAUACGGGAAUAAAGUGAGGCACGUGUGCCUUUUUGUAUGUACCGUAUGAAUAAGGAUCGGCUAACUCCGUGCCAGCAGCCGCGGUAAUACGGAGGAUCCGAGCGUUAUCCGGAUUUAUUGGGUUUAAAGGGAGCGUAGGCGGACGCUUAAGUCAGUUGUGAAAGUUUGCGGCUCAACCGUAAAAUUGCAGUUGAUACUGGGUGUCUUGAGUACAGUAGAGGCAGGCGGAAUUCGUGGUGUAGCGGUGAAAUGCUUAGAUAUCACGAAGAACUCCGAUUGCGAAGGCAGCUUGCUGGACUGUAACUGACGCUGAUGCUCGAAAGUGUGGGUAUCAAACAGGAUUAGAUACCCUGGUAGUCCACACAGUAAACGAUGAAUACUCGCUGUUUGCGAUAUACAGUAAGCGGCCAAGCGAAAGCGUUAAGUAUUCCACCUGGGGAGUACGCCGGCAACGGUGAAACUCAAAGGAAUUGACGGAGGCCCGCACAAGCGGAGGAACAUGUGGUUUAAUUCGAUGAUACGCGAGGAACCUUACCCGGGCUUAAAUUGCAACUGACUGAACCGGAAACGGUUCCUUCUUCGGACAGUUGUGAAGGUGCUGCAUGGUUGUCGUCAGCUCGUGCCGUGAGGUGUCGGCUUAAGUGCCAUAACGAGCGCAACCCUUAUCGAUAGUUACUAGCAGGUCAUGCUGAGGACUCUAUUGAGACUGCCGUCGUAAGAUGUGAGGAAGGUGGGGAUGACGUCAAAUCAGCACGGCCCUUACGUCCGGGGCUACACACGUGUUACAAUGGGGGGUACAGAAGGCAGCUACACGGCGACGUGGUGCUAAUCCCGAAAGCCUCUCUCAGUUCGGAUUGGAGUCUGCAACCCGACUCCAUGAAGCUGGAUUCGCUAGUAAUCGCGCAUCAGCCACGGCGCGGUGAAUACGUUCCCG
RNAcentral lists this ribosomal RNA (1017 nucleotides) under uncultured organism. Its description in RNAcentral is "bacterial SSU rRNA". It matches the Rfam family "Bacterial small subunit ribosomal RNA", at positions 356 to 1376 of the family's 1533-position model. The record is from RNAcentral.